RNAcentral lists this ribosomal RNA (403 nucleotides) under Escherichia coli. RNAcentral describes it as "bacterial SSU rRNA". It matches the Rfam family "Bacterial small subunit ribosomal RNA", at positions 1130 to 1532 of the family's 1533-position model. The record is from RNAcentral. Lineage: Bacteria; Pseudomonadati; Pseudomonadota; Gammaproteobacteria; Enterobacterales; Enterobacteriaceae.
GCCGGGAACUCAAAGGAGACUGCCAGUGAUAAACUGGAGGAAGGUGGGGAUGACGUCAAGUCAUCAUGGCCCUUACGACCAGGGCUACACACGUGCUACAAUGGCGCAUACAAAGAGAAGCGACCUCGCGAGAGCAAGCGGACCUCAUAAAGUGCGUCGUAGUCCGGAUUGGAGUCUGCAACUCGACUCCAUGAAGUCGGAAUCGCUAGUAAUCGUGGAUCAGAAUGCCACGGUGAAUACGUUCCCGGGCCUUGUACACACCGCCCGUCACACCAUGGGAGUGGGUUGCAAAAGAAGUAGGUAGCUUAACCUUCGGGAGGGCGCUUACCACUUUGUGAUUCAUGACUGGGGUGAAGUCGUAACAAGGUAACCGUAGGGGAACCUGCGGUUGGAUCACCUCCUU